Molecule: ribosomal RNA, 482 nt
Filed under: uncultured bacterium
Lineage: Bacteria
Description: partial 16S ribosomal RNA
Rfam family: Bacterial small subunit ribosomal RNA
Source: RNAcentral
AUUGAACGCUGGCGGCAUGCCUUACACAUGCAAGUCGAACGGUAACGGGCCUUCGGGUGCCGACGAGUGGCGAACGGGUGAGUAAUACAUCGGAACGUGCCCGAUCGUGGGGGAUAACGAGGCGAAAGCUUUGCUAAUACCGCAUACGAUCUACGGAUGAAAGCAGGGGACCGCAAGGCCUUGCGCGGACGGAGCGGCCGAUGGCAGAUUAGGUAGUUGGUGGGAUAAAAGCUUACCAAGCCGACGAUCUGUAGCUGGUCUGAGAGGAUGAUCAGCCACACGGGGACUGCGACACGCGCCAGACACGCAUGAGACCGAGUGGUGGGGAACAUGGGCCAGUGGGCUGGGUCGUGAUCCGUUCAUGCCGCGAGCAGGAUGCUGGCUUUAGGGUGGUAGGCUGCUUGAUGACAUAAAAAAAAGCCUCCGUUUAAUACAGGAGGGUCGUGGCCGUACCGUAAGAAUAGACCCCCGCUAACUCCGUC